CGUCUCGUGACUGCGGAGGAUCAUUAAUGAGUUUUUGAUGUGGGCUUGUUGCUGGUGUCUUAACGGAUGCAUGUGCACGGCCCCGCUCUCAAAUCCAUUCAACACCUGUGCACUUUCAAAGCUGUAGUCCUCCGUAAUGGGAGCCGCAAGUUGAUUCAUUUUAGCUUGCUAGGGCUGCGCUUUGCCAUUUUAUUACAAACUAUAUGCAUUGUCUUGUAGAAUGUUAAGCCUUUCAAUAGGUGAAAUUAAAUACAACUUUCAACAACGGAUCUCUUGGCUCUCGCAUCGAUGAAGAACGCAGCGAAAUGCGAUAAGUAAUGUGAAUUGCAGAAUCCAGUGAAUCAUCGAAUCUUUGAACGCAACUUGCGCUCCUUGGUAUUCCGAGGAGCAUGCCUGUUUGAGUGUCGUGAAAUUAUCAACUCCCUUUCUUUAUUGAGAGGUGGGAUUGGACUUGGGGAUUGCUGGUGCAAACUGGCUUCCUUUGAAUGCAUUAGCUAGAGCUUGAUUCAUAGCAUAUAUGCGGUGUGAUAAUGUCGUCACUGUGUAGCUUGAGUCUUCUGGCUUCUAACCGUCCUUCAUUGGACAAUUUGAUUAUUUUGACCUCAAAUCAGGUAGGACUACCCGCUGAACUUAAGCAUAUCAAAAACCGGGAAGAAAA
This is a ribosomal RNA of 658 nucleotides. The stretch from base 254 to 407 matches the Rfam family "5.8S ribosomal RNA".